GCUCGGAUAGCUCAGAUAGGUAGAGCAUCAGACUUUUAAUCUGAGGGUCCAGGGUUCGAUUCCCUGUUCGAGCG
Molecule: transfer RNA, 74 nt
Filed under: Copidosoma floridanum
Lineage: Eukaryota; Metazoa; Arthropoda; Insecta; Hymenoptera; Encyrtidae
Description: tRNA-Lys
Rfam family: tRNA
About the family: Transfer RNA (tRNA) molecules are approximately 80 nucleotides in length. Their secondary structure includes four short double-helical elements and three loops (D, anti-codon, and T loops).
Source: RNAcentral